RNAcentral lists this ribosomal RNA (1402 nucleotides) under uncultured bacterium. RNAcentral describes it as "bacterial SSU rRNA". It matches the Rfam family "Bacterial small subunit ribosomal RNA". The record is from RNAcentral.
UUAGAGUUUGAUCCUGGCUCAGGAUGAACGCUAGCUACAGGCUUAACACAUGCAAGUCGAGGGGCAGCGGGGUGCAGCAAUGCACUGCCGGCGACCGGCGCACGGGUGAGUAACGCGUAUCCGACCUGGCCUUCACUCCGGGAUAGCCCCUCGAAAGAGGGAUUAAUACCAGAUAUGUGGAAGGGUUACAUGGCACUUCCACGAAAGAUUCAUCGGUGAAGGAUGGGGAUGCGUCCCAUUAGCUUGUUGGCGGGGUAACGGCCCACCAAGGCGACGAUGGGUAGGGGUACUGAGAGGUAGGUCCCCCACAUUGGAACUGAGACACGGUCCAAACUCCUACGGGAGGCAGCAGUGAGGAAUAUUGGUCAAUGGGCGAGAGCCUGAACCAGCCAAGUAGCGUGAAGGAUGACUGUCCUAUGGAUUGUAAACUUCUUUUCCGGGAGGGUAAAGUGAGCGACGUGUCGUUCAUUGCAAGUAUCCCGGGAAUAAGCAUCGGCUAACUCCGUGCCAGCAGCCGCGGUAAUACGGAGGAUGCGAGCGUUAUCCGGAUUUAUUGGGUUUAAAGGGAGCGUAGGCGGACGAUUAAGUCAGUGGUAAAAUCGUGUGGCUCAACCAUACCUCGCCAUUGAUACUGGUUGUCUUGAGUGCACAAGAGGUGGAUGGAAUUCAAGGUGUAGCGGUGAAAUGCGUAGAUAUUGGGAGGAACACCAGUGGCGAAGGCGCCUUUCUGGACUGUGUCUGACGCUGAGAUGCGAAAAGCCAGGGGUAGCGAACGGGAUUAGAUACCCCGGUAGUCCUGGCCGUAAACGAUGGGUACUAGGUGUAGGAGGUAUCGACCCCUUCUGUGCCGGAGUUAACGCAAUAAGUACCCCGCCUGGGGAGUACGGCCGCAAGGUUGAAACUCAAAGGAAUUGACGGGGGCCCGCACAAGCGGAGGAACAUGUGGUUUAAUUCGAUGAUACGCGAGGAACCUUACCCGGGCUUGAAUUGCAGGAGAACGAUCCAGAGAUGGUGAGGCCCUUCGGGGCUCCUGUGAAGGUGCUGCAUGGUUGUCGUCAGCUCGUGCCGUGAGGUGUCGGCUUAAGUGCCAUAACGAGCGCAACCCCUCUCCUUAGUUGCCAUCAGGUCAAGCUGGGCACUCUGGGGACACUGCCACCGUAAGGUGUGAGGAAGGUGGGGAUGACGUCAAAUCAGCACGGCCCUUACGUCCGGGGCUACACACGUGUUACAAUGGGGGGUACAGAAGGCAGCGACCUGGCGACAGGGAGCGAAUCCCAAAAACCCUUCUCAGUUCGGAUCGGAGUCUGCAACCCGACUCCGUGAAGCUGGAUUCGCUAGUAAUCGCGCAUCAGCCAUGGCGCGGUGAAUACGUUCCCGGGCCUUGCACACACCGCCCGUCAAG